Non-coding RNA from Notechis scutatus (mainland tiger snake), 1162 nucleotides. Lineage: Eukaryota; Metazoa; Chordata; Lepidosauria; Squamata; Elapidae. The record is from RefSeq and is a predicted model, not a curated record.
CUUCCAAUUUUGAGGGGCUGCCACAGAGAGGAAGGAGUCAAGCUAUUUUCUAAAGCACCUGUAGGCCAGACAAGGAAUAAUGGAUGGAAACUGAACAAGGAGAGAUUUAACCUGGAAAUAAGGAGAAAUUGUCUGACAGUGAGUACAGUCAACCAAUGGAACAGCUUUCCCUCAGAAGUUGUGGGAACGCCAUCACUUGAGACUUCCAAGAAGAGACUGGACUGCCAUUAGUCAGAAAUGGUGUAGGGUCUCCCGCUUAGGCAGGGGGUUGGACGAGAUGACCUAUAAGGUCCCUUCCAACUCUGAUUAUCUGUUAUCUGUUAUAGGGCUACCCUUGAAGAGCAUUUGGAAGCUACAACGGGUACAGAAGGCAAUGCCACUUACAGUCCCGGAGGCCUCUGGCAUGGCAUACAUGACACCAAUGUUACACAAGCUGCACAGAUUGCCCAUCAUCUUGUUUGUUUAAUUUUUAACUUUUAUUCCGAUUAUAAUUGUUUUUAGCAAUUUCUAACCUUUUAUUAUAUUGUAGGUCACCCAAGAGAUAAGCAAAAGAGCAGGCUUCUCAUUACUCCAUUCUUUUUAAUUAGAAUGAAUUCACUGUUUUCUUUUCAGGGAUGUAAAGUGUGGCAAGUUACACUGCAAAAAGGGACACGUGAUAUGCAUCUGCUUUGUUUCACCAGAUGACCCAGAUUAUGGAAUGGCUGAACCUGGAACAAAAUGUGGAGAUGGAAAGGUGUGCAUCAACAGGCAGUGUGUUGAUGUGCAGACAGCCUACUGAUCAAGCACUGGCUUCUCUCAAUUUGAUUUUGGAGAUCCUCAUCCAGAAGGCUUCCCUCAAGUCCAAAGAGACCCAUCUGUCUUUCUCCUAUUAGUAAAUCACUCCUAGCUUUCAGAUGGUAUCUGAAACUUGCAAUAUUUCUUCUCCAUAAUUUAAUCAGAUAAUCUUUUGCUAUAAUCAGAUCUUUUCCCUGCCACAAAGCUCCAUGGUCAUGUACAGCAAGAAGAAAAUGGCCAUUUUACCGUUUGCCAAUUGCAAUUCACAUUUAAUGCAACAAGCUCUGCCCUUUGAGCUGGCAUAUUCAAAGGCAAUGCUCCCUCUCCCAAAAUUAUACGCUGGCUUUCCAAGAGGUAGCUUCUUCCAUCAAUAAACUAUCCUCAUUCU